Molecule: microRNA precursor, 173 nt
Filed under: Pelobates cultripes (western spadefoot toad)
Lineage: Eukaryota; Metazoa; Chordata; Amphibia; Anura; Pelobatidae
Source: RNAcentral
CAGCAGACACAUUCCAGCCAAUCAGCAGCAGACCCUUCCUCCCAGACCCUCCCACCUCCUGGACAGCUUACUAAGAAUGCAGCUUCACAAUGAAUGUAAAAUGGAUGCUGUCCAGGAGGUGGGAGGGUCUGGGAGGGAGGGUCUGCUGAUGAUUGGCUGGAAUGUGUCUGCUG